This 388-nucleotide unclassified non-coding RNA is filed under the name uncultured fungus. Its description in RNAcentral is "sequence contains ITS1". The stretch from base 1 to 106 matches the Rfam family "5.8S ribosomal RNA", at positions 50 to 154 of the family's 154-position model. Lineage: Eukaryota; Fungi. The record is from RNAcentral.
GAAAUGCGAUACGUAAUGCGAAUUGCAGAAUUCAGUGAAUCAUCAAAUUUUUGAACGCAAAUUGCGCUUUCUGGAUAGGCCAGGGAGCAUGCUUCUUUGAGCAUCGUUUCUACCCCAUCUCGACAGCUCUGCUGUUGGAGAAUGAGAUGUCUCAUUUUUUUAUUUCUUCAAAAAAAUAAAAAUGAUGAGUCUCUUUAAGAAGCGUGAGUUUUUCCUAAACUCCUAGUAAUUCUUAAAUUACUGGUGACAUGGAUAAAAUUUUUUAUUUUAUGUUGCUAGGAAAUAAGAAUAUGGAAAUCUGGAAUUUUAAACUCGUUCAGAAAAUUAUAUAAUAUAAUAUUUUUUUGAAUUAGAUCUCAAAUGAAGUAAGAGUACCCGCUGAACUUAA